GGAGACAAGCACAAAGACAGGUGAAACUAAUCAGGGUGUGACAAUAUCGGUAUUUGGACCCUCAUUCGUCACAAAUGCAGUAUAACCUGAGACUGAGGUCCCAGCUAGUGAUGAAGAUAAGAGAUUACCUCUGCUAUGUGCAUGGUGCGUGUCCUUGAGAUACCUCUCCAGUUCCUUUCCUACUCUAUUGUAGUCUGUUUGUGUUAAUUAUUUUUUGUUUCCAUUCUAGGGUUUGUGGAUGUUGAAAACACCCACCUUAUUUAAGAGGACUCCAUGGUUAGGUGCACUUCACACAACAUUUUACUUAAUCCAAACACAAUUUUGGAUAAAUUAUUUGUAUUAUAGUCUCGUAGCUCCUCUAUUAAAUUAUUUAUAGAGCAGUGAGGAGCCAGUCCUCCGAUCAUGUUUAUGUAUUUUCCAGGGUGCAAAGAAGUUUGUGGUGCCCUCAAGAGAACCUGGUCAAUUUUACUCCCUGCCUCAGAGUCUUCAACAGUUUAAACAGCAUCUCAUGGUGGCUGUCAUUGAUAGGUACUUUCAACUGGCCCGGUGCUACAGAGAUGAAGGUUCCAAACCAGACAGACAGCCCGAAUUCACCCAGGUGGACAUUGAAAUGUAAUAUGUGGAUCAAGCUGGAAUCUGACGGCUGAUUGAGGGCUUGGUCCAGUACGCCUGGCCUGUGGAGAAAGGACCUUUUUCCACACCCUUACCCUGCAUGAUGUAUGAAGAAGCAAUGAAGGACUAUGGAGGGGACAUGCCAGACACACAAUUCGCUGUAGUUUGGUCAAAAUACUUUAAAAUU
Salmo salar (Atlantic salmon) is the source of this 799-nucleotide non-coding RNA. The record is from RefSeq and is a predicted model, not a curated record. Lineage: Eukaryota; Metazoa; Chordata; Actinopteri; Salmoniformes; Salmonidae.